UAGAGACCCUGGAGGUGGAUCUGCCUAGCUCUUGACUCUGGUGCUGCCCCCCCUUGAACAUGGCUUGACAGCCCGGAGAUAGAGCCCCCCUCUGCAGCAGGCAAGCUGUGGAGCAGUGCCCUGGCCAAGAGCUGGCAGGACCGCAGCAGGCCACGAGCUGCCAGCUGGGGCAUCGCCAAGUCAGAAAUCUCUACGCCACACUCGGGAGCAUGGUGCGGGUGCACGUCCAGUGUGCAAUAAAAGGCUCUGGGGGGAAUUGGCCUGCUCUUCUUUGAAAGCGAACUUGCACAUUAAAUGCACGCUAAGCCUGGUAACAUGCAGGUUUACAAAGCACCGGAAUGCCAAUAAAUGGAGACCCUGGAAUUACAUGCAGUAGCUUUUGGUGGAUAAGCUUUCAGAGACCUAGAUGAAAGGAGUCAUACGCUCGGAUGGAUGGAAGAGAAGAUUUCUACUACCAGUUUGUUCCAUGCCAAGAUUAAAAUGUAAAAGAAAUGCUGUUUGGUAUGGUACACCGCUGCCCUCUGCGGUGACGAAUACGAGUGAGCAUAUGGCCAGAGAACUCUGGGAAAAAAGGAUUCUGGAUAGAAUAGACAAAGACUGAAAAAAGAGGCGAAAAAAGUGAUGGAAAAGGUGUCAGGCCAUUUGCUUCUCCUGUUUCU
This 659-nucleotide long non-coding RNA is filed under the name Dromaius novaehollandiae (emu). Its description in RNAcentral is "lncRNA (ENSDNVG00000005483.1)". Lineage: Eukaryota; Metazoa; Chordata; Aves; Casuariiformes; Dromaiidae. The record is from RNAcentral.